Molecule: ribosomal RNA, 718 nt
Filed under: uncultured crenarchaeote
Lineage: Archaea; Thermoproteati; Thermoproteota
Description: bacterial SSU rRNA
Rfam family: Archaeal small subunit ribosomal RNA
Source: RNAcentral
AGGGCGGGAGAGUCUGAGUACUACAGGGUAGGGGUGAAUCUUAUAAUCCUUUAGGACCACCAGUGGCGAAGGCGUCAGACUGGAACGCGCCUGACGGUGAGGGACGAAAGCCAGGGGAGCGAACCGGAUUAGAUACCCGGGUAGUCCUGGCCGUAAACGAUGCAUACUGGGUGAUGGCACGGCCAUGAGCCGUGUCAGUGCCGUAGGGAAACCGUUAAGUGUGCCGCCUGGGAAGUACGGUCGCAAGGCUAAAACUUAAAGGAAUUGGCGGGGGAGCACCACAAGGGGUGAAGCCUGCGGUUUAAUUGGACUCAACGCCGGGAAACUUACCAGGGGAGACAGUAGAAUGCAGGUCAGGUUGACGACCUUACCUAACGAGCUGAGAGGAGGUGCAUGGCCGUCGCCAGUUCGUGCUGUGAGGUAUCCUGUUAAGUCAGGCAACGAACGAGAUCCGCACCUUUAUUUGCCAGCAAGAAGCUACGGCUUUGUUGGGAACACUAAAGGGACCGCCGUCGUUAAGACGGAGGAAGGAGCGGGCAAAGGCAGGUCAGUAUGCCCCGAAACCCCUGGGCUACACGCGGGCUGCAAUGGUAUGAACAAUGGGCUGUGACUCCGAAAGGAGAAACCAAUCCCGAAAUCAUAUCUCAGUUGGGAUUGUUGGCUGUAACCCGCUGACAUGAGCGUGGAAUCCCUAGUAAUCGUGUGUCACCAUCGCACG